This 271-nucleotide long non-coding RNA is filed under the name Nicotiana benthamiana. Its description in RNAcentral is "long non-coding RNA (NBEN_LNC029839)". Lineage: Eukaryota; Viridiplantae; Streptophyta; Magnoliopsida; Solanales; Solanaceae. The record is from RNAcentral.
AGGGAGCCUACACCUUCUCCCUCUCCUACCCUUCUCACUAACAUCCCAAACAUCAGUCAUCCAAACACUGAGAACCCCGCACUACCUCAAAACACACCCAACAAGCACCCACAAUAUCCACCCGUACCUCACCAUUAUAGAACUCCACCACAAAAUCAAACUAUCCCACCACAAUACCCGCCAAACACCUACGACACUCCAUAAAAUGCUUUACCAAUUAUUCCUGAACCCCAGAAUUCCACCAAUGAUCACCACCAUACUCAGAUUCCAG